This 355-nucleotide ribosomal RNA is filed under the name uncultured bacterium. RNAcentral describes it as "bacterial SSU rRNA". It matches the Rfam family "Bacterial small subunit ribosomal RNA", at positions 29 to 408 of the family's 1533-position model. The record is from RNAcentral.
AACGAACGCUGGCGGCAUGCCUAACACAUGCAAGUCGAACGAGACCUUCGGGUCUAGUGGCGCACGGGUGCGUAACGCGUGGGAACCUGCCUUUAGGUUCGGAAUAACUCAGAGAAAUUUGAGCUAAUACCGGAUGAUGUCUUCGGACCAAAAGAUUUAUCGCCUUUAGAUGGGCCCGCGUAAAGAUUUAGCUAGUUGUGGGGUAAAGCCUACCAAGGCGACGAUCUUUAGCUGGUCUGAGAGGAUGAUCAGCCACACUGGGACUGAGACACGGCCCAGACUCCUACGGGAGGCAGCAGUGGGGAAUAUUGGGACAAUGGGCGAAAGCCUGAUCCAGCAAUGCCGACGUGAGUGA